UUUCUACUAAAACUAUUUCAGCCAAAGAAUGUUGAAGUCCUUAUCACGAAUUCAUGAUCUGUUAUCAGUAUUUGAGAAAGAUUACCAUUUGUACAGAAUGUAUCCUUUGAUACCUUGAACUUUGAAUCUGAAACUUAUGAACAAAUAAACUAUUCAACAAAUUGAUAUCUGAAAUCAAAAGAAAAUGAUCUUGAGAUAAGGACUAUGUCAACCCCAAUUCCAAUGUGAUAGCUUUUUGUGCAACUGUCUUUUACAUAUGUUCUUACAGAUUUUGAAAUUAGUAAAAUUUAGUUUCUCACCCUAAAAAUGUAGAGCAGCUUUAAUUUGUUUUCUGAACACGGCUUAAAUUAUCCUAUAAAAGAUUUGUCAAAUCAUCAGCUCAAUUGCUUGGGGCGAUAUGUUGAUCCAAACUCUUCUCCAUGUAUCCUGAAGAUGGAUGGAAGUCUUAGAUGAGUUUUUCAUUUCCAGAAAGUUGUUGCCUUUCUCAUCUGCUGGAACAUGCAAAUAGAUCAUUAUUUAACUUGAAGUAUAUUGACUCGUAAGCAUGCUUGUAUCUUUUAGGGGGCUAGUGGGCCGUCACUGCUACAAUUCUGCUGGAUAUAUUCUUGAAUCCAAGAUCCACUAUUUACUUGGAUUUUAUUAUACCGGUUCCUGCCAUCUUAAUGGAAAUCUUUUUAAUCAGGAAAGAUGUAUUGAUAACAUUGGAGGUUUGUUGCUUUUCCUCCUUUGGCUGUGUUAUCAUCUUUCCAACAAACCUUUUCUUUUCGUAUGUUUGUGCAUGCUAAUGGAAACAACUAAUCUAACCAAUCUAAAAAGUUAAUUCACUAUUGAUUGGUGCAAUUUGUUUUCUCAGAGGAAUAGUCACAUUGCAGGUUCAGCACACUUGGGGGGUGCUGCAGUUGCAGCUAUAGCAUAUGCUCAAAUUAGGAAGGGAUUUCAACUUAUGUUUGAUUAUUCAGUUACGUUUUAUAUAUUUCCUUGGGGCCAAAUUCCCAUUUGCAAGGGACUGAGUGUCAGUUGUGCUCUGAAGAUAUAUUUGAUUACAUUGUAUCCUUGAGGCCUUUAAACGUCAUUCAUCAACAUACAAACUUAGAUCCAGUA
This is a long non-coding RNA of Hevea brasiliensis (rubber tree), 1101 nucleotides long. RefSeq lists it as uncharacterized. The record is from RefSeq and is a predicted model, not a curated record. The transcript has 2 exons. NCBI's taxonomy places the organism in Eukaryota, Viridiplantae, Streptophyta, Magnoliopsida, Malpighiales, Euphorbiaceae.